UACGGGGGGAGCAAGCGUUGUUCGGAUUUACUGGGCGUAAAGGGCGCGUAGGCGGCCACCGCAAGUCGACUGUGAAAUCUCUGGGCUUAACCCAGAACGGUCAGCCGAUACUGCGGGGCUAGAGUGCAGAAGGGGCAACUGGAAUUCUCGGUGUAGCGGUGAAAUGCGUAGAUAUCGAGAGGAACACCUGCGGCGAAGGCGGGUUGCUGGGCUGACACUGACGCUGAGGCGCGAAAGCUAGGUGAGCGAACGGG
This 254-nucleotide ribosomal RNA is filed under the name uncultured bacterium. RNAcentral's name for it is "partial 16S ribosomal RNA". It matches the Rfam family "Bacterial small subunit ribosomal RNA", at positions 524 to 776 of the family's 1533-position model. The record is from RNAcentral.